UACGUAGGGUCCAAGCGUUAUCCGGAAUCACUGGGCGUAAAGCGUGCGUAGGUGGAUAAUUAAGUGCAGUGCGAAAUCCUGUGGCUCAACCAUAUGGACUGUACCGCAUACUGGUUAUCUAGAGGAUAUGAGAGGCAAGUGGAAUUACCGGUGUAGCAGUGGAAUGCGUAGAUAUGUGGAGGAAUACCGAUGGCGAAGGCAGCCCCCUGGGAUAACACUGACGCUCAUGCACGAAAGCGUGGGGAGCAAACAGG
RNAcentral lists this ribosomal RNA (254 nucleotides) under uncultured bacterium. RNAcentral's name for it is "partial 16S ribosomal RNA". It matches the Rfam family "Bacterial small subunit ribosomal RNA", at positions 524 to 776 of the family's 1533-position model. The record is from RNAcentral.